UACAUACCUGUAUUAUUAUAUACACACACACCUAUGUAUGUGUGUGUAUAUAUAAUCAUACAUGUAUGCACUUGUGUAGACAUCAUCUUCAUUUAACAUGGAAAGCAGACAUUAAACAAUAAUGAUGAUGUAUGUACAAGUGCAUAUAUGUAUAUAUAUAUAUAUAUAUACACACGCCUGUGUGUGUAUAUAUCCAUCUAUCUGUCUAUCUCUAUCUAUCUAUACGUAUACACACACACACACUUCCUACCUUCUUCUUUCUCUCUGCCUCUUUUCCUCUCCGUAUACAAACAUCUUUAAAGCUGUUUACAAAUAUAUAAAUGUAUAUAUUUUUUUAAAUAAAGGAGUAUCAAAAAGUGGGGUCAGCUGACUGCAUUUUCUCUUUAGUUCACAAUCGAGAGAGUUCGCUUCGGCAUGGACUGUCAUGGAAGGAUUCACUAUUUCAUGGAAAUAAACCGGGAGUUGUUACCAUGGAUACGGCAUGAUGCAAGAUUGGUUUACUGAAGUUUAUGAAACAUUUGUAAAUUGAGAGUGGCUGUGUGGUAAGUAGCUUGCUUACCAACCACAUGGUUCCGGGUUCAGUCCCACUGCGUGGCAUCUUGGGAAAGUGUCUUCUACUAUAGCCACAGGCCGACCAAAGCCUUGUGAGUGGAUUUUGUAGGCGGAAACUGAAAGAAGCCUGUCGUAUAUAUAUAUAUAUAUAUAUAUAUAUGUAUAUAGGUGUAGGAGUGGCUGUGUGGUAAGUAGCUUGCUUACCAACCACAUGGUUCCGGGUUCAGUCCCACUGCGUGACAUCUUGAGCAAGUGUCUUCUACUAUAGCCACAGACCGACCAAUGCCUUGUGAGUGAAUUUGGUAGACGGAAACUGAAAGAAGCCCGUCGUAUAUAUGUAUAUAUAUGUGUAUGUGUGUGUGUUUGUGUGUCUGUGUUUGUCCCCCUAGCAUUGCUUGACAACCGAUGCUGGUGUGUUUACGUCCC
RNAcentral lists this long non-coding RNA (978 nucleotides) under Octopus vulgaris (common octopus). Lineage: Eukaryota; Metazoa; Mollusca; Cephalopoda; Octopoda; Octopodidae. The record is from RNAcentral.